GAUGAACGCUGGCGGCGUGCUUAACACAUGCAAGUCGAACGAAGCACUUUAUUUGAUUUCCUUCGGGACUGAUUAUUUUGUGACUGAGUGGCGGACGGGUGAGUAACGCGUGGGUAACCUGCCUUGUGCAGGGGGAUAACAGUUGGAAACGGCUGCUAAUACCGCAUAAGCGCACAGCAUCGCAUGAUGCAGUGUGAAAAACUCCGGUGGUAUAAGAUGGACCCGCGUUGGAUUAGCUAGUUGGUGAGGUAACGGCCCACCAAGGCGACGAUCCAUAGCCGACCUGAGAGGGUGACCGGCCACAUUGGGACUGAGACACGGCCCAAACUCCUACGGGAGGCAGCAGUGGGGAAUAUUGCACAAUGGGCGAAAGCCUGAUGCAGCGACGCCGCGUGAGCGAAGAAGUAUUUCGGUAUGUAAAGCUCUAUCAGCAGGGAAGAUAAUGACGGUACCUGACUAAGAAGCACCGGCUAA
Molecule: ribosomal RNA, 474 nt
Filed under: uncultured bacterium
Lineage: Bacteria
Description: bacterial SSU rRNA
Rfam family: Bacterial small subunit ribosomal RNA
Source: RNAcentral